AGCAUAAUCAAUAGUCUCCUUAAUUGGGAACUGGAAUGAAUGGUUGAACAAAAGAAUAACUGUCUUUUUUAUAUAAUUUGAACUUAACUUUUAAGUGAAAAGGCUUAAAUACUUUGGGGGGACGAUAAGACCCUAUAAAGCUUUAUAACAAAAACUAUUUUUAAAUAAAAAUUUAGUGGCGUUAUUUUAUUGGGGCGAUAAAGAUAAAAAUAUUAUAACUGUUAAAAGAUAAAACAUAUAUUUAUGAAGGUGUAAAAGAUCCUGAAUAGAGAUUUAAAGAAUAAGUUACUUUAGGGAUAACAGCGUAAUUUCUUUUAAAAGUUCUUAUUGAAAAAGAAGAUUGCGACCUCGAUGUUGAAUUAAAAUAUCUUU
Molecule: ribosomal RNA, 372 nt
Filed under: Menaethius monoceros
Lineage: Eukaryota; Metazoa; Arthropoda; Malacostraca; Decapoda; Majidae
Description: partial large subunit ribosomal RNA
Rfam family: Archaeal large subunit ribosomal RNA
Source: RNAcentral